RNAcentral lists this ribosomal RNA (508 nucleotides) under uncultured bacterium. RNAcentral describes it as "partial 16S ribosomal RNA". It matches the Rfam family "Bacterial small subunit ribosomal RNA", at positions 28 to 507 of the family's 1533-position model. The record is from RNAcentral.
GACGAACGCUGGCGGCGUGCCUAAUACAUGCAAGUCGAACGGUUCUUUCCUCCCGAGUUCUUGCUCGCUAGUGGAAGGAGGAGGCGCGGGCGGGUAAGUAACACGUGGGUAACCUACCCAUCAGAGGGGGAUAACACUUGGAAACAGGAGCUAAUACCGCUUACCCGUUUAUGCCUCAUGGCAUGAGAGUGGAAUUCUCGUUCGGGGGUCGCGGAGGGUUUGAUCAGCGGUGCGUUAGCGAGAUGGUGAGGUAACGGCUCACCAAGUCAACGAUGCGUAGCCGACCUGAGAGGGUAGUCAGCCCCACUGGAACUGAGCCACGGCACAGACUACUACGGGACGGAGCAGAGGGGAAUCUUCGGCAAGGGACGGAAGUCUGACCGGACACAGCCGCGUGAGUGAAGAAAGUUUUGGGAUAGUAAUACUCUGUUGUUAGAGAAGAACAAGAACGUGAGUAACUGAACGUCCCCUGACGGUACCUAAUGAGAAAGCACCGGCUAACUCCGUG